Unclassified non-coding RNA from Bison bison bison, 181 nucleotides. Its record names the gene 7SK. It matches the Rfam family "7SK RNA". Rfam says of the family: 7SK was discovered as an abundant small nuclear RNA in the mid-70s but a possible function has only recently been suggested. Lineage: Eukaryota; Metazoa; Chordata; Mammalia; Artiodactyla; Bovidae. The record is from Ensembl.
GGUGGAUUCUUUACCAUUUGAGCCACCAGGGAAGCCCACCAUCCCUGAUAGAGGAGGACUGGUCUUCCGUCAAGGUUAUAGGAGUAGCUGUGCUCCCCUGCUAGAACUUCCAAACAAGCUCUCAAGGUGUCCUUAUAAGAAGAGGAAAUUAGGAUUCAAACAUACAGAGGGAAGACCAUGU